Molecule: long non-coding RNA, 490 nt
Filed under: Mytilus galloprovincialis (Mediterranean mussel)
Lineage: Eukaryota; Metazoa; Mollusca; Bivalvia; Mytilida; Mytilidae
Source: RNAcentral
AUUUUAUCUUACCUCCUAUACAUUUCCAGGAAUAUGAUUGGCUAAAAGCGUCCGCGUGCAAACCGUGUAUAUUUGAUAUUAGGUCAGUAGGGGGGCGGGGUUUAUCUCAUACACGGUUAGUAGUGGAGUUACGUCCCUUUAUAUUCCAUAUUAGGUAAGAAGGGGGCGGGGCUUAUUUCAUACACGGUUAGUAAUGGUGUUAUGUCCCUUUAUAAAAAACAAAACGGUACUGAGAAAAAACUUAAAUGUUCCAACAGACGAAGAAAUUGAUGAUUAAGAUUGAUAUAAAUUCAUAAAACACAUUUAAACCUUACAAGUCGUUAUUGUUGGCAUCUGUUUUUGUACGAUCAAUGGAAGUAUUUUCUUAAUGCUAACAGUAUUAAAGACUUGAUCAUUUUGAGAAUCACUAGUCUUAAUUUCACACGUUAAGAUAGUCGGUAAGAUAAAUUCGUUACAUAGUGUGCUAGUGACGUAAUACGGUAUAUAUGGG